AAUGAACGCUGGCGGCGCGCCUAAUACAUGCAAGUCGAGCGAGAAGACGUAGCAAUACGUUUGUAAAGCGGCGAACGGGUGAGGAAUACAUGGGUAACCUACCCUAGAGUGGGGAAUAACUAGCCGAAAGGCUAGCUAAUACCGCGUACGCUCCUUGGACUUCGGUUCAGGGAGGAAAGCGAUACCGAGGGUAUCGCGCUCUUGGAUGGGCUCAUGUCCUAUCAGCUUGUUGGGAGGUAACGGCUCACCAAGGCUUCGACGGGUAGCUGGUCUGAGAGGACGAUCAGCCACACUGGCACUGCGACACGGGCCAGACUCCUACGGGAGGCAGCAGUAAGGAAUAUUGCGCAAUGGGCGAAAGCCUGACGCAGCGACGCCGCGUGGGGGA
RNAcentral lists this ribosomal RNA (388 nucleotides) under uncultured bacterium. RNAcentral's name for it is "bacterial SSU rRNA". It matches the Rfam family "Bacterial small subunit ribosomal RNA", at positions 29 to 408 of the family's 1533-position model. The record is from RNAcentral.